Long non-coding RNA from Rhinichthys klamathensis goyatoka, 389 nucleotides. RefSeq lists it as uncharacterized. Lineage: Eukaryota; Metazoa; Chordata; Actinopteri; Cypriniformes; Leuciscidae. The transcript has 3 exons. The record is from RefSeq and is a predicted model, not a curated record.
CAAAGGCAAGGGAGAGGAGUGGGACAAGGACAAGGGCAAGGGAGAGGAGUGGGACAAGGACAAGGGCAAGGGAGUGGAGUGGAAAUGCGUGGUGGUGCUCAAAGAAGGCCAAGAGCUAGGGUAACUAAUGAAAUAAGAGCUACUAUAAUAGACCAUGUCAUAAACCACGGGCUAUCAUACAGAGAGGCUGGUGAACGAGUACAGCCAAAUCUCAGCCGGGACAUGGUGGCAUCAAUUGUUCGGAUUUUUAGAGAAACCAACAGGUAGGAUAUUGCUUCUCCUACUGCAAAGUGUAAAUAAUUGUACCAUGUAUUACAGUGACUGUGUGCCUCCGGUCUCUAAUAUGUAACUGUAUUUUGUCCCUCUAAGGACUCAACGUCUACCUCCCU